ACACUCCUACGGGAGGCAGCAGUGGGGAAUAUUGGACAAUGGGCGCAAGCCUGAUCCAGCCAUGCCGCGUGAGUGAUGAAGGCCCUAGGGUUGUAAAGCUCUUUCACCGGUGAAGAUAAUGACGGUAACCGGAGAAGAAGCCCCGGCUAACUUCGUGCCAGCAGCCGCGGUAAUACGAAGGGGGCUAGCGUUGUUCGGAUUUACUGGGCGUAAAGCGCACGUAGGCGGACUAUUAAGUCAGGGGUGAAAUCCCGGGGCUCAACCCCGGAACUGCCUUUGAUACUGGUAGUCUUGAGUUCGAGAGAGGUGAGUGGAAUUCCGAGUGCAGAGGUGAAAUUCGUAGAUAUUCGGAGGAACACCAGUGGCGAAGGCGGCUCACUGGCUCGAUACUGACGCUGAGGUGCGAAAGCGUGGGGAGCAAACAGGAUUAGAUACCCCAGUAGUCCC
This 447-nucleotide ribosomal RNA is filed under the name uncultured organism. Its description in RNAcentral is "partial 16S ribosomal RNA". It matches the Rfam family "Bacterial small subunit ribosomal RNA", at positions 333 to 797 of the family's 1533-position model. The record is from RNAcentral.